RNAcentral lists this ribosomal RNA (715 nucleotides) under Staphylococcus epidermidis. RNAcentral's name for it is "bacterial LSU rRNA". It matches the Rfam family "Bacterial large subunit ribosomal RNA", at positions 705 to 1424 of the family's 2925-position model. The record is from RNAcentral. Lineage: Bacteria; Bacillati; Bacillota; Bacilli; Caryophanales; Staphylococcaceae.
GGUCGUAGACCCGAAACCAGGUGAUCUACCCUUGGUCAGGUUGAAGUUCAGGUAACACUGAAUGGAGGACCGAACCGACUUACGUUGAAAAGUGAGCGGAUGAACUGAGGGUAGCGGAGAAAUUCCAAUCGAACUUGGAGAUAGCUGGUUCUCUCCGAAAUAGCUUUAGGGCUAGCCUCAAGUGAUGAUUAUUGGAGGUAGAGCACUGUUUGGACGAGGGGCCCCUCUCGGGUUACCGAAUUCAGACAAACUCCGAAUGCCAAUUAAUUUAACUUGGGAGUCAGAACAUGGGUGAUAAGGUCCGUGUUCGAAAGGGAAACAGCCCAGACCACCAGCUAAGGUCCCAAAAUAUAUGUUAAGUGGAAAAGGAUGUGGCGUUGCCCAGACAACUAGGAUGUUGGCUUAGAAGCAGCCAUCAUUUAAAGAGUGCGUAAUAGCUCACUAGUCGAGUGACACUGCGCCGAAAAUGUACCGGGGCUAAACAUAUUACCGAAGCUGUGGAUUGUCCUUUGGACAAUGGUAGGAGAGCGUUCUAAGGGCGUCGAAGCAUGAUCGCAAGGACAUGUGGAGCGCUUAGAAGUGAGAAUGCCGGUGUGAGUAGCGAAAGACGGGUGAGAAUCCCGUCCACCGAUUGACUAAGGUUUCCAGAGGAAGGCUCGUCCGCUCUGGGUUAGUCGGGUCCUAAGCUGAGGCCGACAGGCGUAGGCGAUGGAUA